Molecule: long non-coding RNA, 159 nt
Organism: Chiroxiphia lanceolata (lance-tailed manakin)
Lineage: Eukaryota; Metazoa; Chordata; Aves; Passeriformes; Pipridae
Exons: 3
Source: RefSeq, a predicted model, not a curated record
UUCAGAGGUCUACAGUCCAGUUCUUGGUGAUCAGCAACUGAGACAUUGCUGAAAAGCACUGUAAGAACACAUAAAACCAUCUGCACGUAGGUGAAAGGCUGAAGGUUCCUGUGUCUGUGUGAGGAGGUCUGAUUGUCUGAUGUCUGCUCUGAGCACAAU